RNAcentral lists this ribosomal RNA (422 nucleotides) under uncultured Gammaproteobacteria bacterium. RNAcentral's name for it is "bacterial SSU rRNA". It matches the Rfam family "Bacterial small subunit ribosomal RNA", at positions 9 to 428 of the family's 1533-position model. Lineage: Bacteria; Pseudomonadati; Pseudomonadota; Gammaproteobacteria. The record is from RNAcentral.
GAGUUUGAUCAUGGCUCAGAGUGAACGCUGGCGGCAGGCCUAACACAUGCAAGUCGAACGGCAGCACAGAGGAGCUUGCUCCUUGGGUGGCGAGUGGCGGACGGGUGAGGAAUGCAUCGGAAUCUGCCUAUUUGUGGGGGAUAACGUAGGGAAACUUACGCUAAUACCGCAUACGUCCUACGGGAGAAAGUGGGGGACCUUCGGGCCUCACGCAGAUAGAUGAGCCGAUGCCGGAUUAGCUAGUUGGCGGGGUAAAGGCCCACCAAGGCGACGAUCCGUAGCUGGUCUGAGAGGAUGAUCAGCCACACUGGAACUGAGACACGGUCCAGACUCCUACGGGAGGCAGCAGUGGGGAAUAUUGGACAAUGGGCGCAAGCCUGAUCCAGCCAUGCCGCGUGUGUGAAGAAGGCCUUCGGUUGUAA